RNAcentral lists this ribosomal RNA (534 nucleotides) under Calanoida sp. CP10. Its description in RNAcentral is "SSU rRNA". It matches the Rfam family "Eukaryotic small subunit ribosomal RNA", at positions 34 to 566 of the family's 1831-position model. The record is from RNAcentral. Lineage: Eukaryota; Metazoa; Arthropoda; Copepoda; Calanoida.
GUCUCAAAGAUUAAGCCAUGCAUGUCUAAGUACAUACCCAAUUCAGGUGAAACCGCGAAUGGCUCAUUAAAUCACACCUAAUCUACUGGAAUGUUAGCAGUUACUUGGAUAACUGCGGUAAUUCUUGAGCUAAUACAUGCGAAAAAUCUCGACUCAUGGAGAGAUGCUUUUAUUAGAUCAAACCAAACAGCUUCGGCUGUACUUACUGGUGACUCUGAAUAACUUUGGGCUGAUGGCAUUGCCUUGUGCAGGCCACGUUUCCUUUGAAGGUGUGCCCUAUCAACUGUCGACUGUGAUAUAGACGCUCACAGUGGUUUUGACGGGUAACGAGGAAUCUGGGUUCGAUUUCGGAGAGGGAGCCUUAAAAACGGCUACCACAUCCAAGGAAGGCAGCAGGCACGCAAAUUACCCAAUGAUCGAAGAUAGAGGUAGUGACGAAAAAUAACAAUACAAGACGCUUCCGAGGCCUUGUAAUUGGAAGGAGUACACUUUAAAACCGUUUCAACGAGGAUCCAUUGGAGGGCAAGUCUGGUG